UAGUUUCUCUGAGGUAAUCUUGACUUCUAAACCAUCCCCUAGUUAGUUUGAGUUACUCUUAGUGUCUCUUAUGUGUUGGGUACUGUAAUAGGGUUUUUUACAGUUCCUUUGAAAAAAACCCUAGAGAAUGAGACAUUGUAAAAGUUAUCUUUUAAAAACAUUGAGGUUAUUUUUGUGGCAUUCACUGAACCCCGGUCACAUUGGUGUGAUUGGAAUUUCAAAAUGACGUUUCCUUUUUGUAAAACCUGAAAUACCCCUUAGCCCUUUAUGUUUUGACAGGGGUAUUUGACCCCAAAUGUUGCCUUUGACCUUGUUUUUGAAACCUAUGCUAAAUUUCCUUCAUUUUGGUGUAAUAGAGACUUGCGUUGGACCGACAAGCGUGAAUGAGUGAGGGACCUCUAAGUGACGCAAAGAGGAACCGACGGAGAGCUCACGAUAGAAUGACAGUAGUAGGGUGCAGGAAGUGAGAUUCUGUUGAGGAGUCGCCAAGUCGACGUGAUGACGUUGGGAUUAUUUUGGGAAAGAGUUAUGUUUUGUUGAUCAACUCCUCCAUAGUUGGUUCCAUGAUUUUUUUUUGGUUGAAUUAACGAUGUAAACCCCAGAUUUGAACUAUAUGUAUGAACAUGUUUAAUUUCCAUUAUGUGAAUGAUGUGUACUGAGUUACUAUACUAAUAUAUAUGUAUUCAGUUAA
Molecule: long non-coding RNA, 691 nt
Organism: Glycine soja
Lineage: Eukaryota; Viridiplantae; Streptophyta; Magnoliopsida; Fabales; Fabaceae
Exons: 2
Source: RefSeq, a predicted model, not a curated record